RNAcentral lists this ribosomal RNA (419 nucleotides) under Cliona mariae. RNAcentral describes it as "partial large subunit ribosomal RNA". Lineage: Eukaryota; Metazoa; Porifera; Demospongiae; Clionaida; Clionaidae. The record is from RNAcentral.
CGUUAGGAGGGAAACGAAUGCAGCUGAAGUGGCUCCGUAUCAGGUUCAGGGGGUGUCGGCGGAUAUUCCGGGUGUGGGCAGCUAGCGCGUCCUCGCUCGGAUAGGACGUCGACUUCCCUGCACUCCCGUUGGGAGCCGGCCAACAGCGGUUGCCCGUGGCCCAGAAGGUCGGUCGGGAGGUGACUCUGCACUCGUGCAGAGAGCGUAUAGCCGUCCGUCCGGAGGUCUGGGGGCGACCGAGGAGAGUCGUGAGUCUUCACGUGUGCGGCGCAGGCCCUAGCGGGCCGGGUCGCCUCUGUCCGUUUGGGCCCCGCGACGGGGACUGCUUGCAGUGUCCGCCGACGGUCAGUCUGCUCGGUCGGGGGAUCGACCACGCCCUGCGCUCCGGUUGUUGGUGCUCAAAUGGCUGCAUCCGACCC